RNAcentral lists this ribosomal RNA (439 nucleotides) under uncultured bacterium. Its description in RNAcentral is "partial 16S ribosomal RNA". It matches the Rfam family "Bacterial small subunit ribosomal RNA", at positions 339 to 795 of the family's 1533-position model. The record is from RNAcentral.
CUACGGGCCGCAGCAGUGGGGAAUAUUGCACAAUGGACGCAAGCCUGAUGCAGCGACGCCGCGUGAGUGAUGAAGUAUUUCGGUAUGUAAAGCUCUAUCAGCAGGGAAGAAAAUGACGGUACCUGACUAAGAAGCCCCGGCUAACUACGUGCCAGCAGCCGCGGUAAUACGUAGGGGGCAAGCGUUAUCCGGAUUUACUGGGUGUAAAGGGAGCGUAGGUGGCAAGGCAAGUCAGAAGUGAAAACCCAGAGCUCAACUUUGGGACUGCUUUUGAAACUGUCUAGCUAGAGUGCAGGAGAGGUAAGCGGAAUUCCUAGUGUAGCGGUGAAAUGCGUAGAUAUUAGGAGGAACACCAGUGGCGAAGGCGGCUUACUGGACUGUAACUGACACUGAGGCUCGAAAGCGUGGGGAGCAAACAGGAUUAGAUACCCCCGUAGUC